UGAGCUAGAGCUUGAAUAAGUAUUUUAUUUACACUAAAAGGAUUAUUACUAAGGUAAUGUAGCUUGA
This 67-nucleotide transfer RNA is filed under the name Trigonopterus daun. Its description in RNAcentral is "tRNA-Val". The record is from RNAcentral. Lineage: Eukaryota; Metazoa; Arthropoda; Insecta; Coleoptera; Curculionidae.